UACGUAGGGGGCAAGCGUUGUCCGGAAUCAUUGGGCGUAAAGCGCGUGUAGGCGGCCCGGUAAGUCCGCUGUGAAAGUCGGGGGCUCAACCCUCGAAUGCCGGUGGAUACUGUCGGGCUAGAGUGCGGAAGAGGCGAGUGGAAUUCCUGGUGUAGCGGUGAAAUGCGCGGAUAUCAGGAGGAACACCAAUUGCGAAGGCAGCUCGCUGGGACGUGACUGACGCUGAGACGCGAAAGCGUGGGGAGCAAACAGG
RNAcentral lists this ribosomal RNA (253 nucleotides) under uncultured bacterium. Its description in RNAcentral is "partial 16S ribosomal RNA". It matches the Rfam family "Bacterial small subunit ribosomal RNA", at positions 524 to 776 of the family's 1533-position model. The record is from RNAcentral.